This 388-nucleotide long non-coding RNA is filed under the name Malus domestica (apple). RNAcentral's name for it is "long non-coding RNA (MDOM_LNC016753)". The record is from RNAcentral. Lineage: Eukaryota; Viridiplantae; Streptophyta; Magnoliopsida; Rosales; Rosaceae.
UUGCUUAUGAGUACAAAAUAAAUAAAUGAAAAUGUACUUAGUAAAUACAUAUACCAUUGAUUUUUAUGGGAUACGCAUUGUACAAAACUAGUUUUAACGAUCCAGCAGUCAAACUUGUUUGUAUAUGCUUCAAGAUCGUAUGCGCCAAAAAUCGUAAAAAACAAACAUUCAGAGAUCAAGUAUGGGACAAAACUUUUCGACGGUUAUGAUCGAAAAAUCACGAUUUAACGGUUAUUUUAACUCUGAUUUUGAUGAUUUUUUACAGCUACACUCUUUAACCCUAUAUGAAUACAAUGAACUAAUUCGAUCAUCAAUUUAAAACAUUUACACAAGUGGAUACCACAAAAGAAAAAUGCAAUGCAAGAACCCCAAAAAAAUAAAAAAAAGA